CACGGGGUUGCGAGCGUUGUCCGGAAUUACUAGGCGUAAAGGGCAGGCGGCGGAUCCAUAAGUUUAUCGUUUAAGGCGUCGGCUUAACCGGCGUAGGGCGGUAGAUACUGUGGAUCUGGAAUGCGGUUGGGGAAGACAGAAUUCCUGGUGUAGCGGUGGAAUGCGCAGAGAUCAGGAGGAAUACCGAAGGCGAAGGCAGUCUUCCAAGCCGUUAUUGACGCUCAACUGCGAAGGUGUGGGUAUCAAACAGGAUUAGAUACCCUGGUAGUCCCUGAG
This 276-nucleotide ribosomal RNA is filed under the name uncultured prokaryote. RNAcentral's name for it is "partial 16S ribosomal RNA". It matches the Rfam family "Bacterial small subunit ribosomal RNA", at positions 524 to 801 of the family's 1533-position model. The record is from RNAcentral.